RNAcentral lists this long non-coding RNA (692 nucleotides) under Homo sapiens (human). RNAcentral describes it as "HSALNT0336092". Lineage: Eukaryota; Metazoa; Chordata; Mammalia; Primates; Hominidae. The record is from RNAcentral.
CCGAGAUCGCACCACUGCAUUCCAGCAAAAAGUAAAAAGAAGGCUUAAUUCCUGGAAGCAGAAUUGACUGUCAAACAGAUUGCAUCAAGGUAUUUGCUGCUUUGAAGUUGGGUUGAAGGGUACAUUCAGACUCAGAUCCAAUUCCACUUCUUCCAUGACAUCUUACAUGAUUUUCUUCUGCUCCUGACUCUUCAUAUUUCUUAAAGAAACAAUUUGCCAUAAAGGAAAAGGCAAGGACUUUGAAAUCAGACCUGGGGCUUUCCCCCUACUUGGGUAAGCGAUUUGGUUCUCUGAGCCUUGGUUUCUACACCUGUGAAAUGGGAGUUCAUAAUACUUGCCUCAAAAAAAAAAAUUUGCACAAAUUAAGUAUACAAAAAGCCUACAGCACAAUACCCAACCUGGAGUAUUUCAUGCUGCUCAGUAAGUACUUGUCCAUCUGUUUCCUUAUGGGCUACACUGCACAAAUUGGCUAUGUAAUUUGGCACUUGUUUAUGUACCCGCUCAUGCUGUUACCAGCUUCUUUAUUGUUCUUUAUUGUGUGUGAUUGUUAUUCCUCCUCUCCAGACUACAUUGUAAUCUCUUCCAAUUCAAGGACUCUAUCUCCUUUGUCCUUUGUACCCAUAGUUCAAUGAAUGGUUUUUGAAGUUAGAGUAGCAGUUGUUUGAGAAAAGAUAAAAUACAUUCCUGAACUA